GGGUUGUGAGGUUAAGCGACUAAGCUUACACGGUGGAUGCCCUGGCAGUCAGAGGCGAUGAAGGACGUGCUAAUCUGCGAUAAGCGUCGGUAAGGUGAUAUGAAC
Molecule: ribosomal RNA, 105 nt
Filed under: Staphylococcus pseudintermedius
Lineage: Bacteria; Bacillati; Bacillota; Bacilli; Caryophanales; Staphylococcaceae
Description: partial 23S ribosomal RNA
Rfam family: Bacterial large subunit ribosomal RNA
Source: RNAcentral